RNAcentral lists this long non-coding RNA (865 nucleotides) under Carica papaya (papaya). Its description in RNAcentral is "long non-coding RNA (CPAP_LNC014637)". Lineage: Eukaryota; Viridiplantae; Streptophyta; Magnoliopsida; Brassicales; Caricaceae. The record is from RNAcentral.
UAAGAUUAUUAUUUUUAUAAAAUUCUAAUUAUAUAAUAUCAACGAAUUAAAUAAUAAACUAUGGUAAUUAACUACUAAAAUAUGGUAGUUAACAUUUCUAAAAAGUAUUCUAAUCCCUAUGAUAUUAUUUCAUCUCAGUGUGUUAAUCCUGAAAUCCAAGUUGAUUCUUUUAUUUUCUUUUCUUAUUUCUAUAACAUUUUGUUUAUGAAGCUUAAAUCUAGGUUCGUAUUUCAACUAGAUUUGAUUGAUCAGGAUAGAUAUAUUAGAAUCUAUAGAUGUAGAUAUGUAAGACAAAUUUCAAGGAAAGGUGGCAAGUCACAAUCAGUCAUCUAGUGGGCGCUUCUAGCCAAUUGAUCAUGUGCCUCUUAAUUAUUUUAUUAAAAAAGGGAUCCUUAUAAUUCUGAUUUCAGGUGAAUUGAGCUCUUCUGAUGAAAAAGUCUAUGGUGCUUCUGCUCAUUCAGAUUAUGGAAUGAUCACCCUUCUUGCAACUAAUGGUGUUCGAGGACUUCAGGCAUGUUUGAUUCUUUACUGCAAUCCUUAGCUAUCAUCCUUGAUAUGGUUAUUUCUUGUUAUAUCUCAGGUUUAUACUGCUUAUAGGUUUGCAGGGAGAAGUUCAAACAACUACGAAUCUGGGAGGAUGUCCCUAAUAUAACUGGGUGAGUCUAAGUUGUCCACUAUUUUCCUGAACAAAAGCUAUCUGGUGUGAGGAGGGAAGAGUCUUUUGAUCGAAACUUCUAGAUUUUGUUUGGCCAAUGUACUUUUGUUGUAAGAAAGUAAAGUUUGGAUGAAGAUUUAAAAAUAGAACGAUCUUAAUUAAAAAGAAAAAUCCAAAAUUGGCUUUUGAUAAAGGUAACAUCAGAAACCA